RNAcentral lists this ribosomal RNA (253 nucleotides) under uncultured bacterium. RNAcentral describes it as "partial 16S ribosomal RNA". It matches the Rfam family "Bacterial small subunit ribosomal RNA", at positions 524 to 776 of the family's 1533-position model. The record is from RNAcentral.
UACAGAGGGGGCAAGCGUUGUUCGGAAUUACUGGGCGUAAAGGGCGCGUAGGCGGCCUGCUAAGUCGAACGUGAAAUCCCCGGGCUCAACCCGGGAACUGCGUCCGAUACUGGCAGGCUUGAAUCCGGGAGAGGGAUGUGGAAUUCCAGGUGUAGCGGUGAAAUGCGUAGAUAUCUGGAGGAACACCGGUGGCGAAGGCGGCAUCCUGGACCGGCAUUGACGCUGAGGCGCGAAAUCCAGGGGAGCAAACGGG